UAAGUGUAUUUAUGUAUAUAAAGGAAUUUAUGUGAUCUAAAUACGUAAUAAAUUGCAUAUUUUUAUUAAUUACCAAUUUGUUUGAAUUCAUGGGUCCCGAAGGAUUUUCCGGGUUUUAUACUUAAGCGUCCUCUAGUAACGGCUAUUAGCCUUAUCCUUAUCAGAAUAACAUUUCGGCUCCAAAAUGUGGUUUACAAAUUUUACCCACCACCACCCCUUCAAUCCUCCAUAAUUAUUGUUAUUGUAGAAAAUACAUGUACUAGUUUCUUUUAUAUAAGGUGCCUAUUGUUAUUGCAUGACUUUUGUACUUAUUGUUAAUUUUGUAGAAAAUAUAUGUACUAGUUUUCUUUUGUGUAAGGUGUGGGAUGUUUUUGGGCCCCACCUUCUGCUGCAUUCUGAUAUUGUAAAAUCUGUAAUCUCAUUUGGCAUUUGUAAUAAAUGCUCUAUACACACACA
Saccostrea cuccullata (small rock oyster) is the source of this 456-nucleotide long non-coding RNA. RefSeq lists it as uncharacterized. The record is from RefSeq and is a predicted model, not a curated record. The transcript has 2 exons. NCBI's taxonomy places the organism in Eukaryota, Metazoa, Mollusca, Bivalvia, Ostreida, Ostreidae.